CCGAGCCGGCCCUUUCCAGGGCCUUAAAGGGACCGCCGCGGAGCCCGAAAUGGAUGCUCCUUAAAAAAAAAAAAAUGGGAGAUGGCGCCGCGGUGGUGAGAUGCCGUAGAGACUGGUCCUGACCCGAAAGAGAGUGAGCUUUCUCCUCCACAGGUUACCAUGGACUUAAUGUUCCGACGCACCGCCCGCCUAGAAUAACAGGAGCUAAGAACUAUAGACAGACACUGGGAGCCAUACUGAAUCUUCACCCCUUUAAAGUUGUCUACACACGAAUGCAGCGUCCAACAGAAGAAAUCUAGUCCACAAGCAGACUGUUUAAGAUGGGUGUUUGAUGCUUGCCUACUGGAGCCAGCCCUGCAUACAGAGCUGUGUAUCACAAAGGUUUACAUGAAGCAUUUUACAGAUCUUGAUCAUCGUAACACUGCAAAGUUGACAUGGCCAUUGUCUCCGUGUUACAGAGCCACAAAAGUUAAUAAGUGAUGCAAACCCUGUACUGACUCACACCGCUACCUACUAAGGGUAAGGAAGUGUCCAGUCCUCCCCUACUGAGUGCAGUGCCCAGCUAGAGCAACACUGUCAAAAAAAAAUGAAACAAGGGAGGACUUGUCCAGGAAGCUCUAAGCACAGGCCAGUGUACCUCUAGGUUGCCCUGGAGAAGAUCACUGUGGACAAUAUGGAGGGAUCUGCCUGGUGCUGAAGAUACCUCGGUGUGGACUGUGGUUACACAGGAAUAUGCAGAUAUAAAAUUUCACUUGCAGUUUGUGCUUUUUACAGUGCACAGGUCUACUUCAAUAAACAUUCAAAUGCAUAAA
Peromyscus maniculatus bairdii (prairie deer mouse) is the source of this 812-nucleotide long non-coding RNA. RefSeq lists it as uncharacterized. The record is from RefSeq and is a predicted model, not a curated record. Lineage: Eukaryota; Metazoa; Chordata; Mammalia; Rodentia; Cricetidae.